GAUUAAGGUGAUGAUUAGGUAAUUUCUCUAUUGGUUUGAUCGUCGAAAUGAUGGCUUAAAUAUCUUUUUUAUGCUGAUUAUUC
This is a small nucleolar RNA of Papaver somniferum (opium poppy), 83 nucleotides long. RefSeq annotates it as small nucleolar RNA Z102/R77. The transcript has a single exon. The record is from RefSeq and is a predicted model, not a curated record. Lineage: Eukaryota; Viridiplantae; Streptophyta; Magnoliopsida; Ranunculales; Papaveraceae.